This 648-nucleotide long non-coding RNA is filed under the name Mus caroli (Ryukyu mouse). RNAcentral's name for it is "lncRNA (MGP_CAROLIEiJ_G0004206.1)". Lineage: Eukaryota; Metazoa; Chordata; Mammalia; Rodentia; Muridae. The record is from RNAcentral.
CCGGCUGGAUCAGAGAAGGGGGCGGAGCAAAGCCCGGGAGGCGGGGCCUCGAGCUGCUCCACAGCAAGGCAGGAUCGGGCGGGGGGCGGAGCUCGAAAAACAGAGCCUGUAGUGCUCAACGGUCAAUCGCUGAGGGGUGUCCAGGCGGAGCUCGGGAGGUAGUUCCAGGAGGUGCGCCAGGCGCUGAGAGCGAAUGGCGGUGCAGGAUUCGGGAAGCUGUUUCUUGAGGGGCUCAGAGUACUGUUAGAACCUGUGCAGCGGCAUCGAGAAGCUUGGUACGCUGUCAGAGAGGCGGUUCCUCGAGGGACCACGUGCUGUCAGAACCGGGGUGGCCUCUAGGGUCUCUGCGUGCGUUCAGCGCAGGGGACAGGGCCUCGAGGGGCUUCAUAAGCGGUCAGAGCAGACCUGGAGAGUGCAGCCUGGAAGGAUUCGGUGUGAGGGCAGGCUGGGCAGCAACGCGGCCUCCUAGGACUCCACGUGCCGUCAGACUGCGGGGCGGGGCCUUGAGGAGCUGGGCAGUUCUUCAGAGCACUCGGGGUGCUGAGAAUGGAAAAGGGUCCUUCAAGGUUUCUUCUCUAGGUUUCUCGGGGCAAUGAAAGUUGCCCGCCGAACUGGGCAGGCGCCUAGACCUAGACUUGAGAGGCAAAG